Long non-coding RNA from Aedes aegypti (yellow fever mosquito), 1225 nucleotides. RefSeq lists it as uncharacterized. The transcript is spliced from 2 exons. Lineage: Eukaryota; Metazoa; Arthropoda; Insecta; Diptera; Culicidae. The record is from RefSeq and is a predicted model, not a curated record.
UCGGACAAUCGAACCAUCCGAGGGAAUAUCGGACAAUCGAACCAUCCGAGGGAAUAUCGGACAAUCGAACCAUCCGAGGGAAUAUCGGACAAUUUAACCAUCCGAGGGAACAUCGGAUAAAACCCAUCCAUACAGCUACCAACAUGAAACCACGUGAAAUUUUAUAUGCAGCCAAAAAUGGACAGGAGAGACCGAUAGAAAUGGAACGCCUUGUUGAACUUCGUGACAAGUUGUACGACGAAGUUCAAGUACAACUAACCAAGACACAAAACUCACAGAAUCUGUACCACAACAGGAAGCGAGAGGAUCCGCCAAAACUAAAACAAAACGAAUUGGCAUACAACCGCAUCCAAGGAGUGAAGUCGAAAAUUAAGGACCGCUACCAACAAGUGCGAGUACGAUCUAACCGGAAACACACGUACAAAGAUAUCCUAAGUCGAAAAUUACAUAAAGAAAAACUGCGACGAAUCCGAAAGUAACACCACAGAAUCUCUAAUGUGUUUUUUUCAUUUGUUUUCUCUUUUUAGAUGACGUUUAUUUAGAAUAUCCUGAUAACAACCACAUUCCUUACUCAGCUAUCCCAACCACAAUCCAUCCACGUCAUUAAUCUCAAACAAAACCCCGGUCUUUUAACCAUAGAAACUGGCAACAGUUUUAUAAAAAUAGGCAAUCACAGAUUGUUUCAUAUCCUAGAACUGGAUAAUUACGAACCUAUUUUUAGAAAAUUGCUUGCUAAUAUCCAAGGAAUACGGACAUUCUCAAAUUUUACUGAUAUGUUUGAAAUCUUAGAAUCGAAAUAUGGAACCGUUCACAGUUUAUUCAAUAAUCUUCGGCCAAAGCAAAGAAAUAAAAGAGGAUUAUUUAAUUUUCUCGGAACUGGAAUAAAAAGAAUUACAGGAAAUAUGGACCAUAACGACUAUGAACAAAUUUCGAAAAAUAUUUUUGAACUGCAGAUCAAGAACAAAAGACUUAUUAACGAAAACAACGAACAGCUUAAAAUUAAUCUACAACUCCAAAAUAGAAUCAAUUCCAUUAUCAACCGUUUAAAUCAACAACAGAGUGAAAUAACUAAAAACAUUAUAUCAGCUAGAUUUGAAAACGAAACCAACAAAAACUUUAAAUUAUUUAGAGAAAUUUUGAAAAUCAAUUACAACUUAGACAACCUUAAAUCACAUUUAGAAGACAUUUUUGAAUCAAUUCAGUUAGCAAGAACUAACAUUAUUCC